Molecule: ribosomal RNA, 252 nt
Filed under: uncultured bacterium
Lineage: Bacteria
Description: partial 16S ribosomal RNA
Rfam family: Bacterial small subunit ribosomal RNA
Source: RNAcentral
UACGGAGGAUGCGAGCGUUAUCCGGAUUUAUUGGGUUUAAAGGGUGCGCAGGCGGCACGGCAAGCCGGCGGUCAAAUCGCGGGGCUCAACCCCGCCCAGCCGUCGGAACUGCCGGGCUAGAGUGGGCGGGAAGUGCGCGGAAUGCGUGGUGUAGCGGUGAAAUGCAUAGGUAUCACGCAGAACUCCGAUUGCGAAGGCAGCGCACCGGCGCCCUACUGACGCUCAGGCACGAAAGCGUGGGUAUCGAACAGG